CAGCCGCCGCGGUAAUACGGAGGGUGCAAGCGUUAAACGGAAUUACUGGGCGUAAAGCGCACGCAGGCGGUUUGUUAAGUCAGAUGUGAAAUCCCCGAGCUUAACUUGGGAACUGCAUUUGAAACUGGCAAGCUAGAGUCUUGUAGAGGGGGGUAGAAUUCCAGGUGUAGCGGUGAAAUGCGUAGAGAUCUGGAGGAAUACCGGUGGCGAAGGCGGCCCCCUGGACAAAGACUGACGCUCAGGUGCGAAAGCGUGGGGAGCAAACAGGAUUAGAUACCCCAGUAGUCCCUGUCUCUUAUAC
RNAcentral lists this ribosomal RNA (301 nucleotides) under uncultured bacterium. RNAcentral describes it as "partial 16S ribosomal RNA". It matches the Rfam family "Bacterial small subunit ribosomal RNA", at positions 509 to 807 of the family's 1533-position model. The record is from RNAcentral.